UUCGCAAUGCCCGAAAGGGUGACGAAGCGACGCCGCGUGUGGGAAGAAGGCCUUCGGGUUGUAAACCACUGUCGGGAGUUAGGAAAUGCAGGUGCGUUAAUAGCGCACUUGCUUGACUAAGGCUCCAGAGGAAGCCACGGCUAACUCUGUGCCAGCAGCCGCGGUAAUACAGAGGCGGCAAGCGUUGUUCGGAAUUAUUGGGCGUAAAGAGCACGUAGGCGGCCUUGCAAGUCAGUUGUGAAGGCCUUCCGCUUAACGGAAGAACGGCAUCUGAUACUACAGGGCUUGAGUACGGGAGGGGAGAGUGGAACUUCUGGUGGAGCGGUGAAAUGCGUAGAUAUCAGAAGGAACGCCGGCGGCGAAAGCGACUCUCUGGUCCGAAACUGACGCUGAGUGUGCGAAAGCUAGGGGAGCAAACGGGAUUAGAUACCCCGGUAGUCCUAGCCGUAAACGAUGGGCACUAAGUAGAGGGGUUUUA
This 478-nucleotide ribosomal RNA is filed under the name uncultured Planctomycetales bacterium. RNAcentral's name for it is "bacterial SSU rRNA". It matches the Rfam family "Bacterial small subunit ribosomal RNA", at positions 365 to 833 of the family's 1533-position model. The record is from RNAcentral. Lineage: Bacteria; Pseudomonadati; Planctomycetota; Planctomycetia; Planctomycetales.